UCAGUGUUUACUUCAGUUAAGGGAAGCCUCUCAGUUCUAGUAAUUAAACUUCCAGACACUGACAUUGACUGAGGGAAAUGACUGAAUAGAGAGUACUACAAUACUCGUAUACUUCUCACAUAGAU
Molecule: small nucleolar RNA, 125 nt
Filed under: Mus spicilegus (steppe mouse)
Lineage: Eukaryota; Metazoa; Chordata; Mammalia; Rodentia; Muridae
Source: RNAcentral